RNAcentral lists this transfer-messenger RNA (244 nucleotides) under Planctomycetota bacterium. RNAcentral's name for it is "partial transfer-messenger RNA". It matches the Rfam family "transfer-messenger RNA", at positions 119 to 374 of the family's 374-position model. From Rfam's summary of the family: Bacterial tmRNA, also known as 10Sa RNA or SsrA, is named for its dual tRNA and mRNA-like properties. The record is from RNAcentral. Lineage: Bacteria; Pseudomonadati; Planctomycetota.
GGCAGCUUAGUUAAGUUGCCCCGAGCGAUGGCCCCAGUCGGAAGGGCCUACCAAUCGGUCGCCAAAUCCGACUCGUCCUGUUUCAUCGCCUAGUACGGGCAGGACUAAAUUUGUUCCGGGCUGGUGAAGGCAACACCCUGUCGGCCGGGGGUGUCUUCAUGAGAUUUAAGUUGACCGAAUACACACGUAGAAGUUUGUUCUGAAACGUCACGGGACGCGGGUUCGAUUCCCGCCGCCUCCACUU